ACCCCUGUGACAUACCACUUGUUGCCUCGGCGGAUCAGCCCGCUCCCGGUAAAACGGGACGGCCCGCCAGAGGACCCCUAAACUCUGUUUCUAUAUGUAACUUCUGAGUAAAACCAUAAAUAAAUCAAAACUUUCAACAACGGAUCUCUUGGUUCUGGCAUCGAUGAAGAACGCAGCAAAAUGCGAUAAGUAAUGUGAAUUGCAGAAUUCAGUGAAUCAUCGAAUCUUUGAACGCACAUUGCGCCCGCCAGUAUUCUGGCGGGCAUGCCUGUUCGAGCGUCAUUUCAACCCUCAAGCACAGCUUGGUGUUGGGACUCGCGUUAAUUCGCGUUCCCCAAAUUGAUUGGCGGUCACGUCGAGCUUCCAUAGCGUAGUAGUAAAACCCUCGUUACUGGUAAUCGUCGCGGCCACGCCGUUAAACCCCAACUUCUGAAUGUUGACCUCGGAUCAGGUAGGAAUACCCGCUGAACUUAAGCAUAUCAA
RNAcentral lists this ribosomal RNA (483 nucleotides) under Fusarium oxysporum. Its description in RNAcentral is "eukaryotic LSU rRNA". The stretch from base 129 to 282 matches the Rfam family "5.8S ribosomal RNA". Lineage: Eukaryota; Fungi; Ascomycota; Sordariomycetes; Hypocreales; Nectriaceae. The record is from RNAcentral.